This 394-nucleotide RNase P RNA is filed under the name Planctomycetota bacterium. RNAcentral's name for it is "RNase P RNA component class A". It matches the Rfam family "Bacterial RNase P class A". From Rfam's summary of the family: Ribonuclease P (RNase P) is a ubiquitous endoribonuclease, found in archaea, bacteria and eukarya as well as chloroplasts and mitochondria. Its best characterised activity is the generation of mature 5'-ends of tRNAs by cleaving the 5'-leader elements of precursor-tRNAs. The record is from RNAcentral. Lineage: Bacteria; Pseudomonadati; Planctomycetota.
AGGGUGUGUCGGGCGAUCGCUCUGUGAAAAUCCACAGGGAGGAAAGUCCGGGCAGGAUAGGGCGCGGUGGUGGCUAACGACCACCGGGAGUAAUCCCAGGGAAAGUGCCGCAGAAACGAUACCGCCGAUUCGUCGGUAAGGGUGAAAUGGUGCGGUAAGAGCGCACCGCGGUGUUGGUGACAGCACUGGCAGGGUAAACCCCACCGCCUGCAAGACCAAGCAGCUGAGCGGGCCUUCGGGCCUCGUACCCGGCCCGGGUAUCAACAGCGGGUAGGUUGCUUUGCGCAUCGGCGCAAGAGCCGGCUGGCAACAGUCGGUCCAGAUAAAUGAUCGCCGCCCGCCGGCACCUUGGUGAUGGCGGGAACAGAACCCGGCUUACAGACACACCCUCUUG